Molecule: ribosomal RNA, 955 nt
Filed under: uncultured bacterium
Lineage: Bacteria
Description: bacterial SSU rRNA
Rfam family: Bacterial small subunit ribosomal RNA
Source: RNAcentral
UGCAAGUCGAGGGGCAGCAUAAUGGAUAGCAAUAUCUAUGGUGGCGACCGGCGCACGGGUGCGUAACGCGUAUGCAACCUACCUUUAACAGGGGGAUAACACUGAGAAAUUGGUACUAAUACCCCAUAAUAUCAUAGAAGGCAUCUUUUAUGGUUGAAAAUUCCGAUGGUUAGAGAUGGGCAUGCGUUGUAUUAGCUAGUUGGUGGGGUAACGGCUCACCAAGGCGACGAUACAUAGGGGGACUGAGAGGUUAACCCCCCACACUGGUACUGAGACACGGACCAGACUCCUACGGGAGGCAGCAGUGAGGAAUAUUGGUCAAUGGACGCAGGUCUGAACCAGCCAUGCCGCGUGCAGGAUGACGGCUCUAUGAGUUGUAAACUGCUUUUGUACGAGGGUAAACGCAGAUACGUGUAUCUGUCUGAAAGUAUCGUACGAAUAAGGAUCGGCUAACUCCGUGCCAGCAGCCGCGGUAAUACGGAGGAUUCAAGCGUUAUCCGGAUUUAUUGGGUUUAAAGGGUGCGUAGGCGGUUUGAUAAGUUAGAGGUGAAAUUUCGGGGCUCAACCCUGAACGUGCCUCUAAUACUGUUGAGCUAGAGAGUAGUUGCGGUAGGCGGAAUGUAUGGUGUAGCGGUGAAAUGCUUAGAGAUCAUACAGAACACCGAUUGCGAAGGCAGCUUACCAAACUAUAUCUGACGUUGAGGCACGAAAGCGUGGGGAGCAAACAGGAUUAGAUACCCUGGUAGUCCACGCAGUAAACGAUGAUAACUCGUUGUCGGCGAUACACAGUCGGUGACUAAGCGAAAGCGAUAAGUUAUCCACCUGGGGAGUACGUUCGCAAGAAUGAAACUCAAAGGAAUUGACGGGGGCCCGCACAAGCGGAGGAACAUGUGGUUUAAUUCGAUGAUACGCGAGGAACCUUACCCGGGCUUGAAAGUUAGCGACGAUUCUUGAA